GGCUGUCUCCACCCGAGACUCAGUGAAAUUGAACUCGCUGUGAAGAUGCAGUGUACCCGCGGCUAGACGGAAAGACCCCGUGAACCUUUACUAUAGCUUGACACUGAACAUUGAGCCUUGAUGUGUAGGAUAGGUGGGAGGCUUUGAAGCGUGGACGCCAGUCUGCGUGGAGCCAACCUUGAAAUACCACCCUUUAAUGUUUGAUGUUCUAACGUAGGCCCCUUAUCGGGGUUGCGGACAGUGUCUGGUGGGUAGUU
Molecule: ribosomal RNA, 257 nt
Filed under: Acinetobacter baumannii
Lineage: Bacteria; Pseudomonadati; Pseudomonadota; Gammaproteobacteria; Moraxellales; Moraxellaceae
Description: partial 23S ribosomal RNA
Rfam family: Bacterial large subunit ribosomal RNA
Source: RNAcentral